Molecule: long non-coding RNA, 126 nt
Organism: Phyllostomus discolor (pale spear-nosed bat)
Lineage: Eukaryota; Metazoa; Chordata; Mammalia; Chiroptera; Phyllostomidae
Exons: 3
Source: RefSeq, a predicted model, not a curated record
CUUCCUUAGUCAGGGGCACUGGCCUCUUUUCCCUUAGAUUGUCAAAUAAAAAAUGACAACAGCCAAUACAAUGAUUGCUGUCCAGUGUGAACGUAUCAAAAUUAUACCUAUUUUUAUAAGAUUGGC